This is a small nuclear RNA of Vulpes vulpes (red fox), 109 nucleotides long. NCBI's taxonomy places the organism in Eukaryota, Metazoa, Chordata, Mammalia, Carnivora, Canidae. The record is from Ensembl.
GUGUUCACUGUGGCAGCACAUAUACUAAAAACUGGAAUGAUACAGAAAAGACUAUCAUGGCCCCUGCACAAAGGAUGCCAUGUAAAUUCCUGAAGCAUUCCAUAUAAAA